Dipodomys ordii (Ord's kangaroo rat) is the source of this 637-nucleotide long non-coding RNA. RefSeq lists it as uncharacterized. NCBI's taxonomy places the organism in Eukaryota, Metazoa, Chordata, Mammalia, Rodentia, Heteromyidae. The record is from RefSeq and is a predicted model, not a curated record. The transcript is spliced from 3 exons.
GAUCUCAGGUAAACCAUUCAUGAGCCUGAGGCUGUGAGAAAUGCUUGCUGCACCAAGGGGAACUCUCACCAGAUUUCCUGAAGCUGUCCUAGAAAUAUACUUUUCAGAUUGAGUCAGCAUUACCAGCUUAUCCAAGAAAAGUCUUAACAUAUUCAUUAACAACGUCGAAAGUAGCCUACUUUAAGAGAAAAUAUGCAGAAGAAGAAGAUUUACAUCAAGAUUACCAUGGGUAUUUUCCAAAACACCUGAUACUGCCCGAAGACAGGACUUGCAUUCUCAAACUUUCUCUAGAGAAGCUCAGGUUUCUAGAAGAUCCAGAAACCUACUUAAGAAGGUCUGUGUUAAUUAACAACUUGCUGAGGAAACUCCAUCUAGAGACGGAGAAAGAGCGCUAUGAAUACUUUAAGGAAGCUCCCUGCUAUAAGACUGCUUAUUCUGAUACAAGAAAACGGCUGAAGUUUAUGGUACAGGAACGCUGUUCCCAGUCUCUCUAUUACGAAGAGCUACAUUCGUACCAUAUUGUGCCUUAUGCUUCAGAGAAUGCAAUUUAUGGAAUGGGCUACACAGGCAGCCCCUUGGAGCAAAAUUCUCAGUUGCUUAUUUAUAAAAUGAAUUAAAGUAACUGUUAAGUCCAUUG